GAAUUUUGGACAAUGGGCGAAAGCCUGAUCCAGCAAUGCCGCGUGCUGGAUGAAGGCCUUCGGGUUGUAAACUGCUUUUGUACGGAACGAAAAGCUGUUGGUUAAUACCCUGGAGUCAUUACGUUACCGUAAGAAUAGUCACCGGCGACCUCCGUUCCUGCAGCCGCGGUCAUACGGAGGGUGCAAGCGUUAAUCGGCAUUACUGGGCGUAAAGCGUGCGCAGGCGGUUUUGUAAGACAGAGGAGGAAUCCCCGGGCUCAACCUGGGAACUGCCUUUGUGACUGCAAGGCUAGAGUACGGCAGAGGGGGGUGGAAUUCCGCGUGUAGCAGUGAAAUGCGUAGAUAUGCGGAGGAACACCGAUGGCGAAGGCAACCCCCUGGGCCUGUACUGACGCUCAUGCACGAAAGCGUGGGGAGCAAACAGG
This 425-nucleotide ribosomal RNA is filed under the name uncultured bacterium. RNAcentral describes it as "partial 16S ribosomal RNA". It matches the Rfam family "Bacterial small subunit ribosomal RNA", at positions 359 to 776 of the family's 1533-position model. The record is from RNAcentral.